RNAcentral lists this long non-coding RNA (2332 nucleotides) under Olea europaea subsp. europaea. The record is from RNAcentral. Lineage: Eukaryota; Viridiplantae; Streptophyta; Magnoliopsida; Lamiales; Oleaceae.
CUACAAUCAUUUUGAGGCAAAUAAUACAUUUGUAUGUACAAAUGUGAAACAAUCCCUUCUAUAUUGAAUUGCACAUCACCAAUGUAUGUAGUCUUAUACUCACAAUCAUGUAUCAUAUAUAAAAAAAAAUAACAUCCGUUUCUUCUUAUGCUUCAAAUCAUAAAGUUUCAUCUCCUUUUGUCUCUUAUCCGACCCUUGAAAUCAUCAGCUGAAUGAGGAAGUGCAAGAAUCUCAUCUAUUUGUCUCACAUGAGAGCUCAGCAUUUCACUGUAUCAGGAGCAACAUGUUACAAUGGCCAAAGAUUAUUCAUGGGUUCAACUCAAGGAAAAAGAAGAAGGAACUACCAACAACUAAGUGAAACGAGAAACAUCAAAGCUGUAUUGAGCAAUUCGACGUGAAAUUCUAAUUAAGAGAGCACCAGAUUCACACCUAAAACGUUGAGUCAAUUAGUGAUGAAGAUAACCAUGGAUCAGAAUUUUCAAACACAUGGAAAUUGCAGCAAAUUAUUCAAAGUUGAAUCUCUGAGAACAAAAAAACAGAUGCAGGGAUCAAGGGCCGCCCAAAAAAGUAAAGAUUGCAUUUUCAUAAUAGCAUCCAAUAAUUUCAUAUUCAAAGAAUAAUCGGAGAUCAAGUAAGUGAAGCCAAUCUUGCAUUUGGUCUCUCUUUCUCUUGGUUGUUUAUUCAAAUUUCCGCUUUGGGCUUUUCAUUCUUGGAUUAAAAUGGAUUAUACACUUACAUUGCACUAGGUUUUGGCAUUACACUCUUACAUUGCACUAGGUUUUGGCAUUACACUCUUGAAGAUAAAAUUUUUUACAAACAGUUGUUUAAAAUACUGUUAAGCAUCUCUUCUUCACAUUUCUGCUGUAGCUGAAUAAAUUCACAUUUUUUAUCUAUUAUCUGGCUUAAUAAAAAUUUCUAAAGCACUCUUGAUCGUAUCCCAGGCUCGUCCAUACUUUACCCAAGUGAGGGCUGCUGAAAAUAGUAGAAUGCGGACACAGUAAGCUUGUAUUCUUUUACAUGUCUAAGUAACAUAAUGAAGUUUGGAAUUUCCAUUUUCUGAAGAUGGUACUUACUAAACAGCUUUAUGGGGUUAAAGCUAGACACUGCCUUUGGUUUGAAAUAAUGUUCCCAAGUGUAUCUGAUAAGAGCUUUUAGCAACAAAUGAAUAAUUCAAAAAACUUCUCAAUCCUCAACAUCAAUACUAAAAUUAUUGUUAUAUCAAGACAGUUGAUAAUAGCAUCCAGUCUGAACACGACUAACUUGAUAUAAGAUGCUAAAAUCCAGGAAAAAGUGAAGGUCCACAACUACAAAUAGCAAGCUACAAUGAAAAAUAGAAUGAUAAACAAAGAGAAGAGCGAUAUGAUCAUACCCGUGCAAAAUCUCAGGAUUCUCGAGCUUCUCAUUAGCCAAUUCCUGCUUUAAACAACACUGCUAAUGGGACCAUCUGAUGGUCACCACUCUCAGACAACAUUGAUUCCUGACCCAACACCACAAAAACGAUAAUUUUCUCUCUCUUUGCACAAGAUUCAGAAAAUCCAGUCCAUUACACAUUCAAUCCACCAAUUUCUUGUUGUAGUUGCUGCUAAUCGAUUCAAUCAACACAAAUCCAAUAAAUCACAUACAUACAACCAUCAUUUUUUCUUCUUCUUAUAAUGAAUAACUUACAACAAUAAGCUACUUUUCAAAAUUUAAACAUGCAAAAGACCUAAAGCUCAAAAAUCAAAGUUCAAUUCAAUUUCCGUAUUUCCGAAUCAACUAAAUCCCAAAUUAUAAGUUCCAUUUAAUUUCCACAGCUACUGGUUUCCUGCAAUAACAUAAUAGGCAGAGAGUUAAAUCUCGAAAUAAAGAUAAGCCUAAUUUAUCAAAAACAAAAAAAAUAAAGAAAAAUCACAGAAAACCAUAACAAAAUCCAGGAAUUCACCAAAAAAAUAACGCCAUUCUUGGACCAAAUUGUUGUGAUAUUUAUUAAGGGUGCAACUCAUAAUCGCAAGAACAUGGCAAAAUCCUGUGCAGAAAGUUUAACCAUAUUAGCAAGCAUUAUUCCAACUCACCACCCUCAAAUUUUCCAGCUAUUGCAAGUUAAGAACAACUCAAGUUGAUGAAAAGAACUAAAUAAAUAAAUUGCUUAUUUAACAAAGUUGGUUCCCACUCCGACUGUAUCAAAUGCGGAACUAAAUAAAUAAAUUGCUUAAUUGACAAAUGUUGCUAAUUCAUCAAUGGAAUAUUCUUCAUCAAUGGAAUCAUCCAUGACAUUGGUUCCUUAUUCCUAACUCUGUGACCAUCCAUGUUGAAACUAUAUUCAUGUACAUCAAAUUACCAUUAAACAUAUAAG